AAGGCAUACGGGGGCAGGGACGGGGGACCCAUUUCCGGUCCGCGCCCGGGUCGUCUGGCCCGGCGGACCUCGGGGUGAAGUCGCCACCCGGCGACCGGGCACACCUUCCCGCCCGAACCCGACAGCUAACCUCGCAGGCGUGCCGGAGGGAAUCU
This 155-nucleotide small RNA is filed under the name Couchioplanes caeruleus. RNAcentral's name for it is "c-di-AMP sequence". The stretch from base 33 to 155 matches the Rfam family "c-di-AMP riboswitch aptamer (ydaO/yuaA leader)". From Rfam's summary of the family: This family represents a conserved RNA structure found upstream of the ydaO and yuaA genes in Bacillus subtilis and related genes in other bacteria. The record is from RNAcentral. Lineage: Bacteria; Bacillati; Actinomycetota; Actinomycetes; Micromonosporales; Micromonosporaceae.